RNAcentral lists this transfer RNA (76 nucleotides) under Actinoplanes sp. OR16. RNAcentral's name for it is "tRNA-Ile". It matches the Rfam family "tRNA". Rfam says of the family: Transfer RNA (tRNA) molecules are approximately 80 nucleotides in length. Their secondary structure includes four short double-helical elements and three loops (D, anti-codon, and T loops). The record is from RNAcentral. Lineage: Bacteria; Bacillati; Actinomycetota; Actinomycetes; Micromonosporales; Micromonosporaceae.
AUCGUCGUAGCUCAACAGGUCAGAGCACCGCCCUGAUAAGGCGGAGGCCGCAGGUUCGACCCCUGCCGGCGACACC